This 441-nucleotide ribosomal RNA is filed under the name Triticum aestivum (bread wheat). RNAcentral describes it as "partial small subunit ribosomal RNA". The record is from RNAcentral. Lineage: Eukaryota; Viridiplantae; Streptophyta; Magnoliopsida; Poales; Poaceae.
AUGAAGAUACCUCUUAAGAAUAAAAUCUUUGCAUGGUAUCUUCGUCGCGGUGUCAUUCUUACUAAAGAUAACUUUAUUAAGAGGUAUUGACAUGGAAGUCCGCAAUGUGUCUUUUGUCACCAUGAUGAGACAAUAAAACAAUUAUUCUUCCAAUGCAAAUCGGCUCGUUCUAUAUGGUCAGUCAUCUAAAUAAUUUCUGGCUUGUAUCCUCCAUGUAGUGUUGCUAAUGUAUUUGGCAACUGGUUACACGGGAUUGAUCACAAGUUUAGAACUUUUCUCGGGAUGGAAGCGCUUGCCGUUAUUUGGUCGCUUCGGCUAUGUAGAAAUGAUAAGGUUUUUAACGAUAAAAGUACUUCCCUAUGCAGGUUAUCUACAUAUGUACUGGGACUCUUCGUUUAUGGCCCUCUCUACAAGCCGUGGAGAAUCGAGACCUGUUUAUGA